GACGAACGCUGGCGGCGUGCUUAACACAUGCAAGUCGAACGGAAAGGCCCUGCUUUUGUGGGGUGCUCGAGUGGCGAACGGGUGAGUAACACGUGAGUAACCUGCCCUUGACUUUGGGAUAACUUCAGGAAACUGGGGCUAAUACCGGAUAGGAGCUCCUGCUGCAUGGUGGGGGUUGGAAAGUUUCGGCGGUUGGGGAUGGACUCGCGGCUUAUCAGCUUGUUGGUGGGGUAGUGGCUUACCAAGGCUUUGACGGGUAGCCGGCCUGAGAGGGUGACCGGCCACAUUGGGACUGAGAUACGGCCCAGACUCCUACGGGAGGCAGCAGUGGGGAAUAUUGCACAAUGGGCGGAAUCCUCAUGCAGCAACGCCGCGUGCGGGAUGACGGCCUUAGGGUUGUAAACCGCUUUCGCCUGUGACGAAGCGUGAGUGACGGUAAUGGGUAAAGAAGCACCGGCUAACUACGUG
This 468-nucleotide ribosomal RNA is filed under the name uncultured bacterium. RNAcentral describes it as "partial 16S ribosomal RNA". It matches the Rfam family "Bacterial small subunit ribosomal RNA", at positions 28 to 507 of the family's 1533-position model. The record is from RNAcentral.